ACCAGACUCCUACGGGAGGCAGCAGUGGGGGAUAUUGCACAAUGGGGGAAACCCUGAUGCAGCGACGCCGCGUGAGUGAAGAAGUAUUUCGGUAUGUAAAGCUCUAUCAGCAGGGAAGAAGAAAGACGGUACCUGAGUAAGAAGCCCCGGCUAACUACGUGCCAGCAGCCGCGGUAAUACGUAGGGGGCAAGCGUUAUCCGGAUUUACUGGGUGUAAAGGGAGCGUAGACGGUAUGGCAAGUCUGAAGUGAAAGCCCCGGGCUCAACCUGGGAACUGCUUUGGAAACUGUUAAACUAGAGUGCUGGAGAGGCAGGCGGAAUUCCUAGUGUAGCGGUGAAAUGCGUAGAUAUUAGGAGGAACACCAGUGGCGAAGGCGGCCUGCUGGACAGUAACUGACGUUGAGGCUCGAAAGCGUGGGGAGCAAACAGGAUUAGAUACCCUAGUAA
Molecule: ribosomal RNA, 447 nt
Filed under: uncultured bacterium
Lineage: Bacteria
Description: bacterial SSU rRNA
Rfam family: Bacterial small subunit ribosomal RNA
Source: RNAcentral